CCUACGGGAGGCAGCAGUAAGGAAUAUUGGUCAAUGGGCGGAAGCCUGAACCAGCCAUGCCGCGUGCAGGAAGACGGCCCUAUGGGUUGUAAACUGCUUUUGUACCGGAAUAAACCCCCGAACGUGUUCGGGGCUGAAUGUACGGUAAGAAUAAGGAUCGGCUAACUCCGUGCCAGCAGCCGCGGUAAUACGGAGGAUCCAAGCGUUAUCCGGAUUUAUUGGGUUUAAAGGGUGCGUAGGCGGCCUGUUAAGUCAGGGGUGAAAGACGGUAGCUCAACUAUCGCAGUGCCUUUGAUACUGACGGGCUUGAAUGUACUUGAGGUAGGCGGAAUGUGACAAGUAGCGGUGAAAUGCAUAGAUAUGUCACAGAACACCAAUUGCGAAGGCAGCUUACUAAGGUAUGAUUGACGCUGAGGCACGAAAGCGUGGGGAUCAAACAGGAUUAGAUACCCUGGUAGUCCACGCCCUAAACGAUGAAUACUCGAUGUUGGCGAUAUACGGCCAGCGUCUAAGCGAAAGCGUUAAGUAUUCCACCUGGGGAGUACGCCCGCAAGGGUGAAACUCAAAUGAAUUGACGG
This 578-nucleotide ribosomal RNA is filed under the name uncultured bacterium. RNAcentral describes it as "bacterial SSU rRNA". It matches the Rfam family "Bacterial small subunit ribosomal RNA", at positions 338 to 916 of the family's 1533-position model. The record is from RNAcentral.